Molecule: ribosomal RNA, 253 nt
Filed under: uncultured bacterium
Lineage: Bacteria
Description: partial 16S ribosomal RNA
Rfam family: Bacterial small subunit ribosomal RNA
Source: RNAcentral
UACGGAGGGUGCAAGCGUUAUCCGGAUUCACUGGGUUUAAAGGGUGUGUAGGCGGGUAUUUAAGUCAGUGGUGAAAUCUCCAGGCUCAACCUGGAAACUGCCAUUGAUACUAUUUAUCUUGAAUCCUGUUGAGGUGGGCGGAAUAUAUCAUGUAGCGGUGAAAUGCUUAGAUAUGAUAUAGAACACCGAUUGCGAAGGCAGCUCACUAAGCAGGUAUUGACGCUGAGGCACGAAAGCGUGGGGAUCAAACAGG